Molecule: ribosomal RNA, 497 nt
Filed under: uncultured bacterium
Lineage: Bacteria
Description: partial 16S ribosomal RNA
Rfam family: Bacterial small subunit ribosomal RNA
Source: RNAcentral
GGGGGGGGGGGGGGGGGGGGGGGGGGGGGGCGGGGGGGGGGGGGGGGGGGGGGGCGGGCGGGUCGGGCGUUAGCGGCGGGCGGGUGGGUAACCCGUGGAUGGCCGCCCUUGACGCCUUGGAUAGGUUCGGGAGACCGGAGCUACUACCGGCGACUCUAUUGAACCGCCUGGUUCACUAUUGAAAGCCGGUGUUGCUGUCGCUCAUCGAUGGAUCCGCGACGCCUUAGCUUGUUGGUCCGGUAACGGCUUACCACGGCAAAGCUUCGUAGCCCACCUGAGAGGGUGAUCGGCCACACUGGAACUGAGACACGGUCCAGACUCCUACGGGAGGCAGCAGUAGGGAAUCUUCCGCAAUGGGCGAAAGCAUGACGGAGCAACGCCGCGUGAGUGAUGAAGGUCUUCGGAUAGUAAAACUCUGUUAGUAGGGAAGAACAAAUGUGGAAGUAACUAUGCACGUCGUGACGGUACCUAAUCAGAAAGACACGGCUAACUACGUG